CGUAGGGUGCGAGCGUUAAUCGGAAUUACUGGGCGUAAAGCGUGCGCAGGCGGUUUGUUAAGAUAGGCGUGAGAUCCCCGGGCUCAACCUGGGAACUGCGCUUAUGACUGGCAAGCUAGAGUACGGCAGAGGGGGUGGAAUUCCACGUGUAGCAGUGAAAUGCGUAGAGAUGUGGAGGAACACCAAUGGCGAAGGCAGCCCCCUGGGUCGAUACUGACGCUCAUGCACGAAAGCGUGGGUAGCAAACAGGACUAGAUACCCUGGUAGUCCACGCCCUAAACGAUGUCAACUAGGUGUUGGGAGGGUAAAACCUUUUAGUACCGGAGCUAACGCGUGAAGUUGACCGCCUGGGGAGUACGGCCGCAAGGUUA
This 371-nucleotide ribosomal RNA is filed under the name uncultured organism. RNAcentral describes it as "bacterial SSU rRNA". It matches the Rfam family "Bacterial small subunit ribosomal RNA", at positions 526 to 896 of the family's 1533-position model. The record is from RNAcentral.